UUGGGCAGCAGACACUACAGACUUUUCAGGGAAUAGCUGAGGCCUACCUAGAGACUCACUCUUUCUAGAGUCUCCUGGUUUCCAAUCAGGUACCACCCUGAACACCCACAGCCUCUCUAUGAUGCCUGGCGGGCCCGGUGCCGACGGUGAUUCAGACCUUGGGACACCACGCUACCAGCAGAAGCCUCCAGGAGGCUAGUGUCCCCUGGGACUCUAAGACUGGCUUCCCCUUGACCCCACCUGCUCCCUUUUCCACGAUCCGGGUCCCACCGCACAUCCCAACACUCCCGGAGCAGGAGGAAGGGGUGCGGUGGGGAAGAAGCCCAGAGAAAGGGGCGUGUCCUGGCCAAGGAGCUCAGGGAAGCCCGGCCUUAGGGUCCAGACAACCGGGAGGCCCUGGGACCCGCGCCUGACCCACGCCCUGCCUGGUGGGGCCACCCCUCGGCCUGCGGAGCCUCUCCACCCAGGCACCCGCUUCCUCCCCGGGGCGGAGCCCGGCGGCCACGGGCCAAGCGCCAUAAAAUUUAAAGAGAGACGAUGCACUGUGGCGCUCCUCAGUAUUGCUGGCAUGCCCUCAUCGAGGUCAAAAAGUUGUUGCCCUGUUUCCCAGCCUCCUUUGCACCUGGGAUAAUCAUGUUCAUUGCUGUGACAAAAUACCUGGCAGAAGGAACUUGACGAGCCACUGAGAUGACUCAGCAGGUAAAGACACCUGCCACCAAGCCUGAUGAUCUAAACUGAUGGCCAGGACUCACAUGAUGAAGGGAGAGAACCAACUCCCACAAGUUUCCCUCUGACCUUUGAGCUCCACACGUGUGCUGUGGCAUACAUAUUCCCAUGAGUAUGCACAUGCAGACACACACACACACAAAGUAACUAAGUUCAUGAAACAAAAUUUAAAAAGCAACUUCAGAAAAGGAGGGCUGGUUUCCUUGGACUCAUGAUUUGAGAGAAUACAGUUCCUUCGUGGUGGGAAGGCAUGGCAGCAGGAGAAUGAGGUGGCUGGUCACAUUUUGUCCUCAGUCUAAGAGCAGAGCAAAGUGAAAGCUAGCACUGAGCUUGCUUUUUCUUUCUUCUCUUUAUUCCCUUCAGAACUCCAGACCAUGGGAUGGUGUUGCUCACGCCUAUGGCCAGUCUUCCCUCCUCACCCUUCCAAACCCACGCAGAGAUGUGUCUCCCAGAUGAGUCUAAAUUCAGUCAAGCCGACAGUGAACAUUAUAACCAUCACACCAUGUGACCUAGUUUCACUGGUGAAAUGUUGAUACUCAUGGUGGGAUCUGGAUAAGAAAUAGCUAGUGCCAUUAAUUUCCCUCUCCUUCCUGGUUGGAGCACAAACGCUGUCUGUGGUGACAGAAGUCACUUUGUGACCAUAAAUGAACAACCACAUAGAGAGAAAGGCAGCUAAGAAUGAGACGCACAGAAAGUAUUUAAAGGUACUGUAGGGUGGAGCAACACUUUCCCUUAGUCGUUUUUACUUGAGAAAGUAAGCGGUUUGCUUGAGCUAUUUUUCCUGGGUUUUUCUUUACUCAUACAGCCAAACACAUCCUCUCUCUAUCUAGUGGCUGGCGAUAACCAGUGGUAGUCAAGGAUUAACUCUGAAAUGAUGUCUGAGUUGGGCAGCA
Long non-coding RNA from Mus musculus (house mouse), 1619 nucleotides. RefSeq annotates it as predicted gene, 33642. The record is from RefSeq and is a predicted model, not a curated record. NCBI's taxonomy places the organism in Eukaryota, Metazoa, Chordata, Mammalia, Rodentia, Muridae. The transcript has 3 exons.